Ricinus communis (castor bean) is the source of this 1123-nucleotide long non-coding RNA. RefSeq lists it as uncharacterized. The transcript is spliced from 2 exons. The record is from RefSeq and is a predicted model, not a curated record. NCBI's taxonomy places the organism in Eukaryota, Viridiplantae, Streptophyta, Magnoliopsida, Malpighiales, Euphorbiaceae.
ACCAAAAUAAAUUAUUAUUUAAUCGAGAUUAUUAAUUUAUCGAGGUUCUACUGUAAUAUCUUUUUUUUAUUUUUGUUUUAUGGCUUCUGAAAUUCUACUAAAUUCCUUUGUUUUAAUCAAUUACUAGUUUAUGUUGAUUAUAAUUUUAUCAACAUACUUUGUAGGAUCAUAAUUUUAUUUUAUUUCUACCUUAUUUUAAUUUUUUAUUGUAGAUAUAUUAUCUGAUAUUAGUUAAUGUUAAUUUUAAUUCUUUAUUGGCAAAAUCUAAAGGGAUUAUAAACAUACACAAUUAAAUAUUACAAAUGAUAUAAGGAAGACUCCAAAUUAACUCAAAUAAAAGAAUCCAUAUCUCUGAAAGAGAAUUUGGUGGUGAUUGCACUCUGGAUAAGAAGAUGGAAGGGUUCAGGAAAUAGGGUCAGGAAAGUCGGCAAUACCAGCGGCAGCUACAUUUGGUCCUCCCGCGUAGAAAUCAACAUAUGAGGCCAAUACAAACAGCAAGUUGGCAAGUGAUGAACAAGAUAAACACCCAUGUCCCAUACCUUUCUGACGUUUAGGAAUGGAUUACAAAGAAAGAACGUAUGCAUCCACUCUACUGCCAAAAGGACACACUAUAAAAGAGGAUGCCUUAGAUAGAGAGGCUGGUCAUCCCUUGUUUACAUUGUUAAGUUUGCAGACGCAGAAUACAAAGGGAAAGAAAUGGUGAGGAAAGAAAAGUUAUUCAUUGCUUUGACAUGGUUUUUAGUAGUGAUGUCCAUUGCCAUAUGUGCAAAUGCAACAGCAGGCCCUCGUCUGCAGACAUCUGAGCACAUGGUUCAGCCCCAAGCAGGCUGUCGCUGCUGCUUUUUCAUCGGACGGAUUCCAAACAUCCGUUGUGGAAAUGUGUGCUGUGAGGAUGGCUGUUGCUCCUCCAAUUGAAGGAUCGGUUCAGUUUCCAAUUGUGGGUGUGCUACUUGAGCGAAUAAACUUUGACUUUCUUAAAAUAAUUACGAGAAGUACAAGGAUGGUCAUAUGAGGUUGCAGAAACUCUUUACUAUUGUUAAGCUUUCAUAAAUAAGGAGGUUUCUUUUAUCUGUUGUACUUUCGAAUUGUACUAAUAAUAAUAAUGCAAUUAUGUUAAUCCAAA